UUCUAGCUUCCACUGUGAUCACUGUCUCUGUAAUUCUGCUGCUGCUUCUGAUUGGAAUCAUAAUCCUCAUUCUGACUCUACAAAACAGACACAAGAUGCAAGCAGGAGCAGCUUCUGUUGGCAGGCAUUCUGACCAAGACUCAGGAAAUGAAAAGAGGGUUUGUCUUGCUCUGUGUGACUAUGAGGAGAUGAAAUAUGCUGAAAGUCUGAUUUACACAACAGUAAGUUUUUACAGCAAUGCCACUAGCUCUAAUGAAUCAGCUACAAUCAUUAAUGAUGAGGUGUUGUGUGACUAUACUUCAGUCACUUACACUGCUGUAUGCGGAUAGAUUAUUGGAUCAUGAUUUGUGGUCCAAGCAUGUG
This is a long non-coding RNA of Tachysurus vachellii, 363 nucleotides long. RefSeq lists it as uncharacterized. NCBI's taxonomy places the organism in Eukaryota, Metazoa, Chordata, Actinopteri, Siluriformes, Bagridae. The record is from RefSeq and is a predicted model, not a curated record. The transcript has 3 exons.